GGCCCGUUCGUCUAUCAGCUAGGACAUCGCCCUCUCACGGCGAAAAGACGGGUGCGAUUCCCGUACGGGCUACCA
Molecule: transfer RNA, 75 nt
Filed under: Patescibacteria group bacterium
Lineage: Bacteria
Description: tRNA-Glu
Rfam family: tRNA
About the family: Transfer RNA (tRNA) molecules are approximately 80 nucleotides in length. Their secondary structure includes four short double-helical elements and three loops (D, anti-codon, and T loops). Further hydrogen bonds mediate the characteristic L-shaped molecular structure. tRNAs have two regions of fundamental functional importance: the anti-codon, which is responsible for specific mRNA codon recognition, and the 3' end, to which the tRNAs corresponding amino acid is attached (by aminoacyl-tRNA synthetases). tRNAs cope with the degeneracy of the genetic code in two manners: having more than one tRNA (with a specific anti-codon) for a particular amino acid; and 'wobble' base-pairing, i.e. permitting non-standard base-pairing at the 3rd anti-codon position.
Source: RNAcentral